CUAGUCUGUAAAAGAAGCUUGCUGGAACAUCUCUGAGGGGCCUAGCCAUCGAAGGGCAGGUCUGCUGAGCCGGUGGACAACCCAGAGAGGAGCAGCCGAGAGGCUCGCUGCAUGGAGAUAGCGGAAGCCAUGGUGUCGUCUCUCAUGAAGGAUAGCUCGGAAAGCCUCGGGGAGCGACCCUUUGAACUUGGCCAUGGCUUGCCACAUAUUGAAGUCAUAUCGGCCAAGGAGGGCUUGGUGGUUGGCCACUCUCAGCUGAAGGCUGGAAGACGAAUAAACCUUUUGCCCCAAA
Molecule: long non-coding RNA, 292 nt
Organism: Gopherus evgoodei (Goodes thornscrub tortoise)
Lineage: Eukaryota; Metazoa; Chordata; Testudines; Testudinidae
Exons: 2
Source: RefSeq, a predicted model, not a curated record